Molecule: long non-coding RNA, 16106 nt
Filed under: Homo sapiens (human)
Lineage: Eukaryota; Metazoa; Chordata; Mammalia; Primates; Hominidae
Description: non-protein coding ENTPD3-AS1:15
Source: RNAcentral
ACUGGGAAAACAUGGCGGAGUCGGCUGGCGUUAAGUUGCUUUUUGGCAAAGUUGGGCGGCGAGAUUGUUUUUGGUGAUUUGGAUUAGAAAGCUGCAGGAGGGUCAUCGCUUAGUAAUUUAGGGUUAAGAGUACAGAAGCUAUGUCUUCCGUUGGUCGCAUGCCAUUUGAGUUCCUUUUUAUUUCCUCGAGUUUUAUUUGUUGGUUAUUCAUGGCUAGGUCUGUUCGCUCCUCACGUUCUCUCCUAAUCUCAGUAACUUUGUUAACCUUUCAUUUUCAAGUAAUUCACAGUUACAGAAAUAUUGCUAAACUAGUACAAAUAAUUCCCACAAACCCUUCUAGAUUCCACAAAUGUUAACGUUUUGCAUGUGCUAUAUCAUUUGAAAGGAAAUUGCCGACAUGAUGUCCUUCUAUCGCUACAUUUUUUUUUUUUUAAAGACGGAGUCUCGGUCUGUUGCCCAGGUUGGAGUGCAGUGGCGGGGGCUUGGCUCACCGCAACCUCCGCCUCCCGGGUUCAAGUGAUUCUCCAGCCUCAGCCUCCCAAGUAGCCGGGACUACAGGCGCGCGCCACCAUGGCCGGCUAAUUUUUUUGCAUUUUUAGUAGAGACAGGGUUUCACUAUGUUGGCCAGGCUGGUCUCGAACUCCUGACCUCGUGAUCUGCCUCCCUCAGCUUCCUAAAGUGCUGGGAUUACAGGCGUGAGCCGCCGUGCCUGGCGUUACAUUCUUUUAUAGAGACAGGGUCUCCCUCAGUCGCUCAGGCUGGAGUGCAGUGGCGCGAUCAUGGUUCCCUGCAGCCUCUAACUUCUGAGUGAAGACGAUCCUCUCGUCUCGGCCUUCCAAAGUGUUGGGAUUACCGGCGUGAGCCACCAUGCCCAGCCUAUCUAUACGUUCUUAAAAUGUGUAUUUCCUAACAACAGAGAGAUUCUCUUAUGUCAUCAGUACACUUAUCAAAAUCAGGAAAUUGAUAUUGCAAUAGUACUAUUAUCUAACCUUCAGUCCUUAUUCAAAUUUAUAAGUUGUUGCUCCUAUGUUCCUUGGAGCAAAUGGGAAAAAAAAUUGUUUUUCCAGGCUCUUGAUCUAAUGGAGGAUUACAAAUUGCAAUUAUUUAUCAGGUCUCUAGUCUUUAACUGAUAGUUUUAGAUUUAACUGUUAAAUUUGUAACAUGGGUUUGUUGGAGUUUUCCUCAUUGGAUUCAGAUAGUGAAUUUUUGGUAGAAAUGCUAUGUCCUUGGUGCAUCACAUCAGAAUACAUUCUCUCUCUCUUCACUCUCUCUCUCUCUAUAUAUAUACGCACACACAAACACUUUUUUUUUUCUUUCUUUUUUUGAGAUGGACUCUCCCUCUGUCACCCAGGCUGGAGUGCAGUGGUGCGAUCUCGGCUCACUGCCACCUCUGCCUCCCAGGUUCAAGCAGUUCUCUGCCUCCCGGGUUCAAGCAGUUCUCUGCCUCAUCCUCCCAAGUACCUGGGAUUACAGGUGCCUGCCACCACGCCCGGCUAAUUUUUGUGUUUUAAGUAGAGACAGGGUUUCACCAUUUUGGCCAGGCUAGUCUUGAACUCCUGACCUUGUGAUUCACUUGCCUCAGCCUCCCAGAAGUGCUAGGAUUACAAACGUGAGCCACUGUGCUUGGCCACACACAUAUACAUUUUUUCGAAGAGAUGGGGUCUGGCUGUGUUGCCCAGGCUGGAGUGCAGUAGCUAUUCACAGGUCUGAUUGUAGCCUGCUACAGCCUUGAACUCAUGGGCUCAAGCAGUUCUGCUUCAGCCUCCAGAAUAGUUGGGACUACAGGAAUACACCACCACACAUGGGUUCCCAAUAUUGUGGUGGUAUUUUAUUCUUUAGAUUUUUACCCAGGCCAGUGCAGAGAGGUGUUACCUUUUAUCACUUGAUUAAGGUGAUGAUCUUUGCCAUGACAGUUCCCAGAUGUAUUUCAAGCCUUUCCUCUAAGCUCUAUGCCAGCAUAUCUUCCCUGAGACUGCUCUAGCAGCCUCCUAAAUUCUGUCUUUAAUCUGUUCUCUGCUCAGCAGUUAGAGGGAUCUUUUAAGUAAGUAAAUCAGAUCACAUUAUUUCCUGUUUUUAACAGUUCGAUUGCUUUUCAUAAUAUUUGGAAUAAAAUCUCAACUUCUUACUCUGGCCUUGUAUCAUAUGCUUUAAUACCCAGAUACACCUUAUGCCAUCCCUCCUUCAUUGUGUUGAAGCCACACUGGUCUUGAAUGGGCCAAGCUCUCUCCUCCUCCAUGACCUUUAUACAUGGUGUCUCUCUUGCCAGGAAUGGUCUACCCAUUGUUAAUACUCAUCGUGUAGCAGUGCCAACUUAUCUCUUGUAUUUUUUCCUAGAUAUUUUUCUGAGAGUUAACCAGGCUACCACAUAAAAAAAGGUUAAGUCCCCACCCUUCUUUUUCUAGCUCACCUUGUUUCCCUCAGAGUUAUCACAAUUGCAAUUGUUUGACUUGUUUUGCUGCCCACGUAGGUGUUGUUUCGUUCCAGUUAGAAUAAGUUCCAUGAGGGCAGGACCUUUGCUGUCUUUUCUGUUUUAUUUUCUCACCUUAGUCUGGUAAGGGGCUCAAUAAAUAGGUAGUGAAUGAAUCAGUCUUUAGGUCUUGUUGUCUUGCUUUAUAAUUUACAAAGCAAAAGAUAUGAAUGAAGAAGAAUGUUCAUUUUAGCAUUUUUUUUGCUACUAUCUCCAAACUGGAAAUUACCCAAAGGCCCAUAAACAAGAGACUGGAUAAAUUGUGAUAACAAUCUAUAGCAACGGAGUCUACAGCAACUACAUGGAACAAUGCGGAUGAAUUUCAUAAAUAACACUAACAAAUAAGCUGACACAAUAUAUCCUGUAUGCUUUUAUUUAUAUCAAAUUCAAAACAGGCAAAACUAAUCUACAGUUCUUAUAAGUAAUGAUCAUAUUUACCUUUGGUGCAGGCAGCAGUGGCUAAAGGGGAAAAGGGGAGCUUCUGAGCUGCUGGCCAUGUUGUUUCUUCAUCUGGUGUUAACUACGGGAGUGUGUUAUUAUUUUUGUUUUAAAUUUUUUUAGAGACGGGUCUUGCUAUGUUGCCCAGGCUGAUCUGGUACUCCUGGCCUCAAGCCAUUCUCCUGCCUAAGCCUCCCGAGUAGCUGGGAUUAGGGGCACGGGCCACCCCGCCUGGCUGAAGUGUUUGCUUGUGAAAAUUCAGAGCCCUAUCCAUAUGGUUUAUGCGUUUUCUCACCAAAUGUAUGUUAACCUAAAAAGUUUUUUUUUAAUGCAGUUUCCUGGCUGUACAACCAGAGAACUUUAUUUGCAGGUCUGGUGAGGGGCAAGAAUCUGCAUAUAAAAACAAGCUCUCAAACACACUUUGAACUUCCCCGAACACAAUUUGAGAAACACUUUGGGACUCCCCCUACAGUUACAGAAUUAUUUUCUAAAGUACAUUAUCUUGUUAUAUCACUCCUGUUUAAAGUUGAUUUUUAUCCCCUAUCUUACAGGAUAUAGUCCAAACUCCCUAGUCUGGCAUUCAAGGCACUCCAAAAUCUUACUCCCAAACACCUUCCUAGCUUUUUUCUCCGACCAUUCUGCGUCUCUCAUUCCUAUUUCCCGCAGCAUUUCAUGCAGCUUGAGCCCCCUGUUUCCUAAAAUGUGCUCCCCACAAGCAUCUCGAGAUCCCCAUCCCAGGCAGCCCCAGGCAGUUUUUAAGUUUCUACCAAGCUCCACUAUACUGGCAAGGCAACUUUCCCCAAGCAAGUCUUGUUUCCUUCGGAAGGUCGCAGGCGCCCAGGAAUGAACAGGAUAACUGCUAGUGGCUCCAGAUGUCAGAAAACAGAUGACCAGAUCGAGCACGCGCAGAUCUCUGGUUGGUCGGCUGUGUGCCUCCGGAAGGCCCGCCCUGCUCGUCCAAUCACGGAGAGGGAGGGCACGUUGAGAGUGAUGCCAGGAAUCAAGAUGGCCGCCUGGGACCGCUCUCAGCCCCUUCGGCCUCUACCUGAAGAGCCACGCCCCGUCUGCUACACCCAACUGAUUGGUUCCUCAAUCACAGAGAGGAAAGGCAACAUGAGGAUGACGUCAGUUACAAAUAUGGCGUUUUGGACGGGCUCGAUAGUUUGCUUGGCCUCUACUCAAGGAAUGCUGAUGGUAUAGCAAGAAGGUAUUCUGAGCAUUAUAUCAAUGGGGAAGUUCUAGAUCUUUUGCAAAGCAGGAGGUAACUGCCCUGUUGUGAGCUCUCCGGUGGAGAGCCCCACAUGGCAAGAAAAUGAGAAGCCCCCUGAACAGACAAGAGCUGAGGCCCAGGAUACAAUAUCCUGAAAAAAACUGAAUCCUGCUGACAGUUGCCCAAGUGAAGCUGGAAGUGGAUCUUUCUGCAGUGGAUCCUUGAGAUGACUGUAGCCCUGGCUGACAACUUGAUUGCUGCCUGUGAAGGACCCUGAACCAGAGGACUCAGCGAAAUUGUGCCCAGAUUCCUGACCUACAGAGGCAGUGAGAUAAUAAAUGCUGUUGAGGUCACAAAGUUUUGAGGUAUUUGUUAAUACAGCAAUGGAUACUUAAUACAGCUUCCUACAUGGUCUCCCUCCUUCGACCUUUACACUACAAUCUGUCGUCCACACAGCAGUCAGAGAUCCUUUUAAAACAUAAGUCAGAUCAUCAUGACACUCACCUCCCUGCUAAGUGUCCUGCAAGGCCUUUCACGGUCUGAUCCCCUAUCCUUUCUCUUUCCUCAUCUCCUAUCACUCUUGCCCUUGCAAAUUUUCUUCCAGCACUCUGGCCUCCUUGCUGUUCUUCAGUAUGGCAAGCAACCUGCUGCCCGGAGCCCACACACUGACUGUCCCCUCUCCUAGGACACUCUUCCCUCAAGGGCUCCCAUAUCUUGCCUGCUGGCUCCUGCAUCUUCUUCAAGUCUGCUCAAAUGUCACCUUCUCAGUGAGGCCCAUCCUGGCUAUCCUCUUUCAGUUCUGACAGAAAAUAAUUUAUUGCUUUAUUACAUCAUUAUUUUGUUGUCUUCCCUCCGUCUGUUCCUACUAAAAUUUAAUCUCUGAGAAAGCAGAAAACGUUGUCUUGUUCUUUCCUGUAACCCAAGUGCCUUGAACAUUGCCUCAUUAAUUGCUUGCGCUCAGUAAUAUGUGUUGAAUAAAUGGGUUAAGUAGUUUAUUAAUUGUGAAACUAAAUCCUGUCUGAAAGGUUUGGAGCAGCUUGUUGAAAUAGCAAAUGGAGAUUCUGUGUUUUAAGUUGUGGCUAAGGUAGAAUCAUCCAUGAUGUAUGUGGAGCCAGCUCCUGUGUCCUGGACUUAAACAUCUGUAUCUGACGUGUGGGUAAUUAUAUUGCUAUCCUACACCUUUGACCCAUUCAUCUCGGCUCACCUGUGAUCCAGGCUAUGCUACUAAAGUUGGGUGAGAGAGUCUGCAACACAAGGAAAACAUAGAGCCAUCAUUUAGUAAAUCAAACCCAUAAUAAUACAUUUUGUUGUUAAAUGUAGCCAAUCUCUGAGUAUUUUUUAUUAAAGUAUCUCUAAUGUUUAAAAACAUCUAACACAUUCAUCAUGUUUCAACUGUCCUCAGCCCCUGCUUGGCUUCCCUCCUGUAUGUGUCAGUGCCCAAAGUCCGGAAGGGGCCAAGGUGGCAGGGGUCUGGCGUGUCAGUGCCAACCUCAGUGUGUGCCCACCUGGCUGGGCUGUGACAGUGCCCGGGUUCGGCCCCAACCUUGCUUCAUGAUUGGAGCGGGCACUGGGAGCAGGGAGAGGCCAGGCAGUGGGAGCAGACACUUCGCAGGGGGGCCUUCCUGGGCCCCCAAGAGCACAGAGAUGCCUGGGUUUGCAGCCGGGCCUGGGCAGCUGCAGUGGCACCUGGGGAGGGCAGGGCUUCUGCCUGUUCCAUGGAGUGUACAACCCCAGCCGUGCCUCCCUGCUGCAGCCGAUGUCUUGGCAGUGGCCACUCUAGAUGGGUCACUGCUGCCACCAAUAUGACAUUAAUGAAGUAGACUUAAAGUUUUCAGGGGAUUUAAUUAAUCAUGAUUUUAAGUGGUGCUAAUGUUUCUGGAAAUUUAAUCUCUUAGACUUGACUUAUUUGAACAUUCAUCAUAGAGCAAGCUAAAGUUAUUGUUUCUAAUUUACAUAAAAAUUACUACCUAUAAAACAGAAUAAUAACUUUACAAGUUGAAAUAAAAGGUUUAAGAAAAUCUAGGUUUUUAAACAUAAGACUUUAAAAAUUAAAUAUUAUUUUAAUGGCUAGUAACUGUUGAUAGUCCAUUUGUGCACAACAACCCCCCUUGGGCAUUUGAAAAUAAAAAUCUCUACUGACCAUUUUGAAAGAAUGAGUUUGAGGAUACAUCCACAGGUUGGAGCUUCAGCAUGAGCAGGACAUGGAGAGCCCAGGAAACUUGAGCGAAAUCAUAGGGUCACAUCUGAAGAAGAAGUUGAUUACAUUCAAUUCUGGUCACCUGGCCCAUUAGUGGUGGCAUCAGACCCAGAAGAGGCAUCUGGAGGGGAGUUAGUGUGCAUCAAUUUUAGCAAUGAGUUAUAGAGUCUCUCAAUAACUGUGGCUUAAACAUUUAUUUUCCUCUUUUGUGGGGGUCCUGAGCUGGCCUGGUCCCUCAGCUCAGGGACCCAGCUUACUCUCCCUACAUCCCUAACAUCCAUGAGGUGGCUCUUAUUCUCAUUACUUCAGGCCUACAGAUCCUGCCCUUACACUUUGCAGCAGGAUAAAGGAAAAGGGCAAAAGAUGGGUGUCCACUGUUCUCUCAGGAAGAGUCUUGGUUGCCAUAUCAGGACACUUCUGCUUCCUUUCCGUUGGCCAGAACUCAGCCUCAUUACCAAACCUACAAGCAAUGCUGGGAAAUUGAGUCUCCACUUCUGGUGGCUAUGAGCCUUGCUAAAAAUCAGAUAUUCUAGAACUAUUACUAUGGAAAAAAGCAAAAGUAAAUAUCAGGAAAUGGGUACUUACUACUUACACAUGUUAUGUGGGCAGCAGCAAGCUAUAGGAUGUGAAAUUUUAAAUCUUAAGACUUUAUAUGGAAAUGGCACAGUUGAAAUAGGAUGGAAAUGAUAGUCAUAAGUAGUCACUGAAAUCUAUACAGGAAAACAUAGGCUUGUUCCUGCAAUGUCACAAAACACCAGCUGGGGAUUUUGUUCAAAACCCCAAAAAUGUCAUUUUAGGGCAGAUAAGUGUUCUUUUAGAAACAGCAUUUUAGAAACAAUCAAAAAACCGCCAAACUGAGGAACAAAUUAGCCUAUGAGGAGGUAUACAUGGAAAGUAUAAAUUGGGUCUAAACCUUUUUCUCUCUUUCUGUUUCUUUCUUUGUUUCUUUGUUUGUUCUUUCUUUCUUUCUUUCUUUUCCUUUCUUUCCUUUUCUUUCUUUCUCUUUCUUUCUUUCCUUCCUUCCUUCCUUCCUUCCUUCCUUCCUUCCUUCCUUUCCUUUCCUUUCCUUUCUUUCUUUCUUUCUUCCUUUCUUUUCUUGCGAUUUUCCUGCCUCAGCCUCCCGAGUAGCUGCUAUUACGGGGGCCUGCCACCAUGCCUGGCUAAUUUUUUUUUUUUUUUUUGUAUUUUUUAGUUGAGACAGGGUUUCAGUACGUUGGCCAGGCUGGUCUCGAACUCCUGACCUUGUGAUCCGCCUGCCUCGGCCUCCCAAAGUGCUGGGAUUAGAGACAUGAGCCACCAUGCCCGGCCCUAAAACUUUUUCAUAUGCAUACAUAUUUUUUGAGAUGGAGUCUCACUCUGUCACCCAGGCUGGAGUGCAGUGGCACAGUCUUGGCUCGCUGCAACCUCUGCCUCCUGGGUUCAAGCGAUUCUCCUGCUGGGAUUACAGGCGUGCACCACCAUGCUUGGGUAGUUUUUGCAUUUUUAGUAGAGUCGGGGUUUCACCAUGUUGGCUAGGCUGGUCUCAAACUCCUGACCUCAAGUGAUCUGCCCACCUCAGCCUCCCAAAGUGCUGGGAUUACAGGCAUGAGCCACUGCACCCAGCCAAGUAUCUUUUUUUUUCUUUUUCUCUUCUUUUCUUUUUUUCUGAUGGAGUCUCACUCUGUUGCCCAGGCUGGAGUACAGUGGCUUGAUCUCAGUUCACUGCAACCUCCCCCUCCCAGGUUCAAGCGAUGCCCCUGCCUCAGCCUCCCAAGUAACUGGGAUUACAGGAAGCCACCACCACCCCAGCUAAUUUUUGGAUUUUUAGUAGAGUCUGGGUUUUGCCAUGUUGGCCAGGCUGAUCUUGAGCUCCUGACCUCAGGUGAUCUGCCCGUCUUGACCUCCCAAAGUGCUGGGAUUACAGGCGUGAGCCACCGUGCUCCGCCUAAAGCUUUUUCAUAAUUUAAUCAAUGGCAUAUUCCUAGGAGAAACCAUAAAACGUUAAAAUAAACUGCUUUGCUUACACAGAAAACAGCCUUCUUGUAUAAAAUCCUGGGCUGGAAGUUCUUGUCAACAGGUUACCCUUCUAUUUUUUAUUUUUUAUUUUUUUUUGAGACAGAGGCUCACUCUGUCACCAGGCUGGAGUGCAGUGGCAUGAUCUCAGCUCACUGCAACCUCCACCUCCCAGGCUCAAGGUAUCCUCCCACCUCAGCCUCACAAGUAGCUGGGACUACAGGUACAGCCACCAUGCCUGGCUAAUUUUUUUGGGGGUAUUUUUUUGUAGAGACGAGGUCUUGCCAUGUUGCCUAGGCUGGUUUCAAAUUCCUGGGCUCAAGCAAUCUGCCUGCCUAAGCCUCCCAAAGUGCUAAGAUUACAGGCAUGAACCACUUCGUAACCACCAUCCAGACCAAAAUACAGAACAUUUCUGUGGCCGAAUUAAGUUCCCUCUUUCUUCUUAACUUCAUUUCCUGGAGUCUACCACUAUUGUGCCUCUAUAUCACCAUAGAUUCCUCUUGUUUAUUCUUGGCCUUCAUAUAAAUUGUAUCAUACAGUAUGUAUUCUUUUGGGUCUGAUUUUUUCAGCUCAACAUUAUGUCUGUGAGAGUCAUCCAUGUUAUUCUAGGUAUUAGGAGUUCAAUCCUUUUUAUUGCUCAGUAGUAUUCCAUUGCAUGAGUGUAACACAAUUUUUUUUUUUUUGAGAUGGGUUCUCACUCUGUCCUCCAGGCUGGAGUGCAGUGGUGCAAUCAUGGAUCACUACAGCCUCGACCUCCUGGGCUCCAAGUAACCCUCCUGCCUCAGCCUUCCAAGGAGCUGGGACUACAGGCACACAUCACCACACCUGGCCAUUUUUUUUUUUUUUUUUGGUAGAGCGGGGGUCUCACUAGGUUGCCUCCCCAAGUGCUGGGAUUACAGAUAUGAGCCACCACGCAUGGCCCAGAUGUAAAGUUCUAUCAACUUCAUCAUCAUCUUUUUUUUUUAAUUAUACUUUAAGUUCUAGGGUACAUGUGCACAACGUGUAGGUUUAUUACAUAUGUAUACAUGUGCCAUGUUGGUGUGCUACACCCAUUAACUCGUCAUUUACAUUAGGUAUAUCUCCUAAUGCUAUCCCUCCCCACUCCCCCCACCCCACAACAGGCCCCGGUGUGUGAUGUUCCCCUUCCUGUGUCCAAGUGUUCUCAUUGUUCAAUUCCCACCUAUGAGUGAGAACACGCGGUGUCUGGUUUUCUGUCCUUGCGAUAGUUUGCUGAGAAUGAUGGUUUCCAGCUUCAUCCAUAUCCCUACAAAGGACAUGAACUCAUCCUUUUUAUGGCUGCAUAGUAUUCCAUAGUGUAUAUGUGCCACAUUUUCUUAAUCCAGUCCAUCAUUGAUGGACAUUUGGGUUGGUUCCAAGUCUUUGGCUAUUGUGAAUAGUGCCACAAUAAACAUACGUGUGCAUGUGUUUUUAUAGCAGCAUGAUUUAUAAUCCUUUGGGUAUAUACCCAGUAAUGGGAUGGCUGGGUUAAAUGGUAUUUCUAGUUCUAGAUCCUUGAGGAAUUGCCACACUGUCUUCCACAAUGGUUGAACUAGUUUGCAGUCCCACCAACAGUGUAAAAGUGUUCCUAUUUCUCCACAUCCUCUCCAGCACCUGUUGUUUCCUGACUUUUUAAUGAUCGCCAUUGUAACUGGUGUGAAAUAGUAUCUCAUUGUGGUUUUGAUUUGCAUUUGUCUGAUGGCCAGUGAUGAUGAGCAUUUUUUCAUGUGUCUAUUGGCUAUUUCCUUUAGAGGCUACUGAGUCACUUCAUUCUGGCUGGUCCCCUCUACACCUUCAUCACCAUCCUGGAGAUUUCCUUCCCAUUUUCUCCCAUAUUGGAUCUCCUUUUUUUCUGGAGUCGAUGCCUUUUGUUUCCUUGGUUUAGUCUCUUCUUUUGGUGGAACACACCUUCCAGUUAGCUCCCUGUAAAAGGAAGCUGUCAGAAAAUGUCUCUCUUCUAUUCUCAUACCUAAUUGAUCAUUUUUGGCUGGAUACAGAACUCUAGCUCAAACAUGAUUUUCCCUCAGAAUUUUGAAGGCAUUACUCCAUUGGCUUCUUGCUUCCAGAGUUAUUGUUGAGAAAACUAAAUCCAUUCUCAUCUUGAUCAUUUGUAUGUGGCCUGUUUUUUUUUUCUCCCUCUCUGAAAGUUUAUAAGGGGUAUUCUUUUUCUUUUUAAUGUUCUGAACUUUUAUAGCAUUGUACAUUGGUGUAAAGUAAUUUUUAUUUAUUGGGCUGGGCCCUUUCAAUCAUGUCCAUAUCCUUCUGGUCAGGGUAAAAUUUUCCAUGUAUUUCAUGGGUGAUUCUUCUUUUUGAAACUUGUGUUAUUCAGAUGGGGGUUUUGGUGGGCUAGUCUUAGAAUUUUGUCUUCUUACUCUUUUUCCCAUUUCUUUGUGUUUUUUCUUUCCUUUCUGAGGGUUUGCCUCAAUGCUAUCUUUCAACCCUUCUAGCGAGUUCUUAAUGUCUGCUAUCAUGUUUUAAAUUUCCAAGAACUGUUUCUUUGUUCUGAAUAUCUCAUCUUUCCUUUAAAAAAAAUUGUUUCUGAGCUAGAUGUGGUGGGGUGUGCCUGUAGUUCCAGCUACUUGGGAGGCUGAAGUGGGAGGCUUGGGCCCAGGUUUUCAAGGCCAGCAUGAGCAACAUAGCAAGAUCCUGUCUUAAAAAAAAAAAAAAAGAAAAAGAAAAAAAUUGUUUCUAUUUCAUUGAUGCAGUGUCCCUUAUUUUUCUUAUAAUAUUAAUGAGUUUCUUUUUUUUGUUUAAAAUAUUUUUUUCCUUGCAUAGUUUCUGUUUCUGCCAAUUCAUUUUUUCUUUUAGUUUGUUAGGCUCUUUAUCCAUAUAAUCUAGCUAAUGGGUUUUGGCAGGCUAAUGAAUAUAUAAAUUUGGAGUCAAGGGAAGAGGUUGGAGAAUAAAAAUUUUAUCCAACUCAGAGAGCUGUUAUAAAAAUUAAGUGAUGUAAUGCAUAUAAUUUGCUUAGCACAGGUCUGGAAUAUAGUAAGCAUUCAAAUGUUAGAUGUUAUUUUUUAUUUUAUUAUUUAAUGGCUGCAUCAUACUCUUUUAGCAUAGCAUAUAGAUGAACAUAAUUCACCUCGCCAUUCCUCUACUGCUAUUGAAGAUCGGGCUUACUUUUUCACUUUUUACUAUUAUAUAAAUAGGGAUUGGUAUUUUUCUGAAAGCAGCUUUAGUCACAUAUUUUUAAACUUUCAUUAUGUAAUAUAUAUUUUUUUGAGACAGGAUUUUGAUCUGUUACCCAGGCUGGAGCACAGUGGCACGAUCAUAGCUUACUGCAGCCUUGACUUCCCAGGCUCAAUCUGUUCUCCUUCCUCAGCCUUCUGGUUAAGCUGGGACUACAGGCACGUGACCCACACCCAACUAAUUAAUUUUUUUUUUUUUUUUUUUUUUUUUUUUGUAGAGGUAGGGUUUCUUUAUGUUGCCUAGGCUGGUCUCAAACUCCUGAGCUCAAGCAAUUCUCCUGUCUUGGCCUUCCAAAGUACUGGUAUUACAGGUGUGAGUUACCGUGCCCAGACUCAUUAUGGAAUUUUCAAUCAUGUACAAAAGUAAAGAAAAUGGUAUAAUAAACUCCUGCAUACCCAUUAUUUAGUUUCAACAAUAGCCAUUUUUGGUCAAGUAUCCAAAGAUGUUCAUGUUUAAUGGGCCAUCUUGUUUUAUCUAUAGUAUAUGGAUUCUAUACCAGUGCUGUCUAAUAAAAAUAUAAUGUAAACUACAAAGGAAAACCAUGUUUGUAAUUUAAAACCUAACUUAAUGUAACCUAAAAUGUUCUAGUAGCUACAUUUGAAAAAUAUGAAAGAAAGAAGUGAAAUUUAUUUAUUUAUUUAUUUAAGACAGGGUCUUACUCUAUUGCCCAGGCUGGAGUGUAGUGGUGCAAUCAUAGUUUGUUGAAGCAUCAAAUUCCUGGACUCAACCGAUCUUCCAGCCUCAGCCUCAUGAGUAGCUAGGACUAUAGGCAUGUGCCAACAGGCCUGCUAAUUUUUAAAGUUUUUGUACAGACAGAGUCUCCCUGUGUUGCCCAAGCUGGUCUGGAACUCCUGGCCUUAAGUGAUCCUCCCAUCUCACCUCAGCCUCCCAAAGUGCUGAGAUUAUAAGUGUGAGCCAUUGUGCCUGGCCUGUGAAAUUAAUUUUAAUAAUACAUUUUAUUUUACUCAAUGUAUCCAAAAUAUUGUUUUAAUAUAUAACCAGUUUCCAAGUUAUUAAUGACAUAUUUUAAUUUUUUUGGUACUAAGUCUUCAAAAUCUAGUGUGUACUUUACAUUCAUUGCAUAUCUCAACUGGACUAGCUCAAUAGCCAUAUGUGCCUAGUGGCUCCCCUAUGAGAAAAUGUGAAUAUGCUCACCAAACAGGAUUAAUGUGAAGCAGAUCCCAGACAUUAUAUCAGUGUAUCCAUAAAUAUUUCAAUAUGUAUCUGUAAUAACAAUGUCCGUAUUUUUAAAAAAGGUUUCCUUAGAAUUAAUUUUUAGAAAUACGGUUGUUGGAUUGAGGAAUGUGCACUUUUAAAAUCUUGCAGCAUAUUAUAGCUACUUUUUCGGAACGUUAGAUUAAUUUACACUCCUUUCUGGAGUGUGUGAUGGAGCCCAUGUCACCCUCAUAGAGUGUAUUUGGAUCCCUGACCAUGGUUCUGAAAUCUACAGAAAGGCAGUAAGACUUCCUCUCUGUUGUGAGAGGUCAAAUUUUGUUUUGUUUUGUUUUAAUGGCUUAAAACAAGUUUUAUUCUCUUACAGUUCUAAAGGUCAGAAGUCUGAAUUCAGUUUUACUGGGCUAAAGUCAACGUUUUGGCUUUUAGAGGUUCCUUUUGGAGACUCUGAGGGGAUAAUUUGUUUCCUUGCUUUUUCAGCUUCUCAUGGCCACCUAUGUUCCUUGACUUGCCCCUUCCUCCAUCUUUCAAGUGCAUCAUCCCAAUCUUUACUUGUAUUCAUCACACCGCCUUUUCAUCUGUGAGAAGUCAAGUUCUAGUGAUGAUUCAGAGGUGACUUUUAAGCAGAUAAGAGCAAAGGGACACAAGCAGGAACCUGCCAGACAUAGUGGUGUGUACAUGUAGUCCCAGCUACUUGGGAGGCUGAGAAGGAAGGAUUGCAUGAGCCCAGGGGUUCAAGUCCAGCCUCAGCAACAUAGACCCCAUCUCUAAAAUAAAUGAAUAAAUAAAUAAAUAAAAUAAAAUAAAAUAAAAACAUGGGCUUCUUGGAACUCUACUUUUAUUUAGAAAAGAAGAAAGCAGAUGACAGAAGAUAGAGGGAGGUAACAAUAACAAGAGAGACAGACUUCUGGGUAAAAAUGGCUGAUAAAACACAAACUGAUAUCUAAGUGCAUAUCUUCCUGAUGCCUGACUAGAACAACAGUGGGGGCUGUCCUUAAAUACUUGCCUUGUUUUCUUUCUUUCUUUUCUUUUCUUUUCUUUUCUUUCUUUUUCUUUUUCUUUUCUUUUCUUUUUUUUUUGAGAUGGAGUCUCCCUCUGUUGCCCAGGCUCGAGUGCAGUGGCACAAUCUCGGCUCACUGCAACCUCCGCCUCCUGGAUUCAAGCGAUUCUCCUGCCUCAGCCUUCCGAGAAGUUGGGAUUAUAGGCACCUGCCAUCCUGCCCAGCUAAUUAUUGUAUUUUUAGUAGAGAUGAAAUUUCACCAUGUUGGUCAGGCUGGUCUCGAACUGCUGAGCUCAGGUGAUCCACCCGCCUUGGCCUCCCAAAAUGCUGGGAUUACAGGCAUGAGCGAGCCACCACUCCUGGCACCUCGUUUGUUUUCUGUUUAAGGUGAGGGGAUAAAAAGCUGAUUGGAAGUUUUGAGUUAUUGAUUCAAGCUUCACUGUAGGAUAAUCUGACUAGCAAACUGCAAAUGCCAGCACAUUUGUGUCCUUUCUCCUGGACUUCUUGGAUUCCUCACAAAAGAAUCUUCCAAAGUCCUGACUAGAGGGUAGAGUUAACCUAGAACCUGGGAGUUGAUGGGGUUAGAGGCUUGGAGUCUAAACACUGAAUAUGCCUUGGUUUCCUUAAUCUUGUUGUUUUGGUAUGACACCUCCACCUGUAACUGUGCCUUGUGCCUUCCAGUUCCUGUGCUUGGGUUAGGAAGAGGCAGUCACUCAUCAGCAAAGAGUAGAAGGUAUCUAGGAACCACUAUUCUUUUUUUUUUUUUCUUUUCGAGAAGGAGUCUUGCUCUGUCGCCCAGGCUGGAGUGCAGUGGUGCAAUCUCGGUUCACUGCAACCUCUGCCUCCCGCGUUCAAGCGAUUCUCCUGCCUCAGCUGCCUCAGUCUCCUUAGUAUCUGGGAUGACAGGUGCUCUACCACACCUGGCUAAUUUUUGUAUUUUUAGUAGAGACAGAGUUUCACCAUGUUGGCCAGGCUGGUCUUGAACUCCUGACCUCAUGAUCCACCCGCCUCAGCCUCCCAAAGUGCUGGGAUUACAGGCAUGAGCCACUGCACCUGGCCAGAAUCACUAUUCUUAAACAGCUUUAAUUAUCUUUAUUUUGUGCUUGCCAACCCAACUUGCAGCUGUACUUGAUGCCACAGAUUCCUGAGCUUUUUGAGAACACUGCUGUUUACAUUGGUUGAUUUUUUAUUUUCUCAUUGUUUUAGGAUUGUGCUUUCUUGGGUCUGCUAAGUCAGUUACCCCUGGUCCACCAUGCCAAAAUGUUUUUGUUGUUUUCUUUUCUUCUUUUCUCUCCAUGCUUAUGGAUAUGUGCUGGUAUAAACAGUUUUUGUUUUUUUAAGAAAAUAGUCUGGAUCUUAACCUUCCUCUUACUAAACCCUCUCUCCCUGCUAUAUUCACAUGUCAUUUAAUAGCAACUCUAUCCUUUCAGUCACUCAGGCAAAAAUAUUGGAAUAACUUUUAACCCCUCUUUUUCUCUCUCACUCCAUGUACAUUCAUCAGCAAACACUGUGGGCUCUACUUUCACAUAUAUCCGGGGUCUGACCAUUGCUCACAGCCUCUACUGCUACCAACCUGAUCCAAGCCAUCAGCAUUUCUCAUCUGGAUUAUUAAAAUCACCCACCAACUGGUUUUCCUGUUUCUGCUCUUGUCUCCUUUGUUUUUUAUCACUGUAACUAGAAACAGAAGCCAGAUACCCCUCCUUUGUUCAGAACUCUAAAUGGGGCCCCCUUGCACCAUCUACUCCGUCUUAACUCCCUUACCCUAUCUCCUCCAUCUUCCAGUCAUUUAUUCUGCUCCAAUCACAAUGGCCUUUGUAUUUGUGGUCUCUUUUGCUUAGAAUGCUCUUCCUCCAGAUAUUCAAAUGGCCGACUCCUUCACAUUUUCCAAGUGUUCGUUCAGACGUCACCUUAUCUGAAAAGACUUUUCUGACCUAAUGGCGUCCCCAUCUCAUGCUCCUGGCACUUUCCUUUCCCCUUACUUUUCUUUAUAUUUCUCCAGAUCACUUAUAAUCCCCUGUACAGUGUGUAUUUAGUUGGUUAGUGUCUGUCUCCCCCACUAGAACGUUGGCUCCCUGAAGGCAAGGACUUUGUCUACAUUGUUAAUUGGUGGAGUUAUGCCACCUACACAGGAUCUUACUCAGAGGAUGAAUUCAAUCAAUAUUAGUUGAAUGAACAAAUGAACAAGCAGUUGAAUUGAAUGGCUGUAUUAAAGGAAACUGAGGCAUAGAAAACUUAAGAUUUUUAGACAAAGAUCACACAACAAUGAACAGCAGAACUAGGAUGUGUGAACCAGGUUUUUGUGAUGUGAAAGCCUGAGUUCUUAAUCAUUUUGUUUGAUAUUUGGGAAUAAUUUUUAAUGAGAUCUGAAAAUGCUAAUGGUAUAAUGCUGUGAACGAAGGAAAUAUAAAAUUGUAAUUCCAGCAUGAUCUUAACUAUGUACAAAUAU